ACAGGUGGCAUUGAAUUCCAGCGUUGGCUGCGUAUAAAGUUCUGCCUGUUGGUGCAGAAACAAUGAAUAUUUUCUUGCUUUCGUGCCUUUCAACCUGGUUACCAAAUGUCUUUACUGCAUGGGUUGACCAAACACCGAGAACAAUAACGAAGGAGACAGGCGAAUCACUGACCAUCAACUGUGUCCUAAAAGAUGCUAGCUAUGCAUUGAGUGGCACGUACUGGUAUCUGACAAAAUUGGAUGCAACAAAGUGGGACCGCAUAUCAAUUGGUGGACGAUACUCUGAAACAGUGAACAAGGGAUCAAAGUCCUUUUCUUUGCGACUUCGUGAUCUGAGAGUUGAAGACAGUGGUGCAUAUCACUGUGAAGCGUAUGUUGACCACAGUAAUAAACCUGAUCUUCUACCAAGACAAAAACACCUUCAGAUCGUCCAUGAAGUAAAUUGGCCUUGUUUCAUCAUGUCAACGCUCAACAUGCACUUUGAGGCCAUAAUUUAUGAUACGGAUUACUGCGAUGACCACAACAAUCGAGAACUCGACUUCUGUAAUACAGAAACUACCAGCACACAUUGUUACCAGAACCGCAAACACUUUGAUUUAUUGGUUAUCAGGAUGGCCAGCUAUUCUGGAGCUUGGUCGGAUAUCAAACCUGGUUUUCUGAAACAAAUGUCAGAAAGUUUGAAUGGCGUUGAAUUGGAGCUGACGGAUUGUGACUGCUACCAUGAAGGAAGAGGCACUUUUCUGGCAGUGAAACCUAGAGCAUACCCUUCUCGACCAGUCAUCAGUCUCCUCUACUCUGAAGAACAGAGAGCAAACGGAUUUCUGCAGCUGGUUUGUCUAAUCAACAAAUUCUAUCCUGAAAACAUUGCGGUGAAAUGGCAGAAGAAUGGAAAUGCCAUAGGUUCUGGCUUUACAACCACAUCUCCAUUGAAAACAGCGAACAACGACUUUAGCUCUACCAGUUUGCUUAAAGUGCCCCUGCAGGAAUGGAGCAGCGGUUCUGUGUACAGUUGUCAAGUUUCCCAUUCUGCAACCAGCAGUAACCAGAGAAAGGAAAUUCAUUCAACAGCCGAGAUCGCUGUAUUACUAAGGGAUCCUUUGGUUGAAGAAAUCUGGAUCAAUAAAAAUGCCACUCUGGUUUGUGAAGUGCUUUCUACAGUUUCAGCUGGGAUAGUCAUCUCUUGGAUGGUGGAUGGAAAGGUACGGAAUGGAGGCGUUCAAACUGAAGCAGCUAUUGAAAACCAACGUCUGACCAUCAGCCGCUUGACUAGCAGCGUGGAUGAGUGGCAGAGUGGGGUGGAAUACACAUGCUCUGUAAAACACAAUCAAUCAUCAACCGCAGUAUCAAAACGAACAAGAAUGGCAAGAGUCAAACCAGAGAAGCCACAUCUCCGCCUCCUACCUCCAACACCAAACGAGGUUCAAAACGGCACCUCUGCUACUCUCACAUGUUUGAUAAGAGGAUUCUAUCCUGACAAAAUACGAGUUAACUGGGAGAAAGACGGAGCUUCUGUCAGCGCGAACAUCACCAUUUUCCCCACUGCUCUGGAACAGGACCUGACCUACAGCACACGGAGCCUUCUCGUUUUACCUGCAGUGGAAUGGAAGAGCGGAGCAAAAUACACCUGCACUGCCUCGCAUCCAUCUUCACAGUCCACUGUGAAAAGGGUCAUCAGCCAGACGAAAGAUGAAUGCCAUCAGCCAGAUAUUUCUGUCAACCUACUGAAACCUGCGUUUGAAGAGAUUUGGACACAAAAGACAGCGACCAUCGUUUGCAAAAUCGUUUACAGCCAGUUAGGAAACAUCAAUGUUGUCUGGCAAGUGAACGGGUCUGAGAGAACUAAAGAAGUCGUGACGGAAAAUCCUGAUUGGAAUGGAAGUAAGUUCACCAUUGUGAGCAAACUUAAAAUCGUGGCGUCAGAGUGGGACAGCGGUGCCGAAUAUGUUUGCUUGGUCGAAGACAGUCAAUUACCAACACCAGUAAAAGACUCUAUCAAGAAGGCAACUGAUGGUCAAAUGGGUCCUCCUCAGGUUUAUCUCCUGCAUCCAUCGACUGACGAGAUUGACACUGAGAAUUCAGCGACUCUGAUGUGUCUCGCCACCAGCUUUUACCCAGCUGACAUUUACAUUGGCUGGAUGGCCAAUGACACGCUCUUGGAUGCCGGGUACCGGACGCACAUGGAUAGUGAGAAGGGGAAUGGUUCCAACUUCGUGACCAGCAGGUUGAGAGUCACAGCGGCGGAAUGGAACAGUGACAUCACUUACUCCUGCUUAGUGGGACACCCAUCCCUCAGCCGGGAGUUAAUCAGAAGUAUUAAUAAGUCUCGUGAUAACCCAGAAAUAAUGGAAUACCCAGGAGACUCUGGCAGCGAAGAAAACGAACGAGAAAAUGUCGAUGGAGAUGCCAACAGCUCCUUAUCCAUCAUGACUUUCGUCAUCCUGUUUAUUCUCAGUAUGCUAUACAGCACAUUUGUAACUGUGCUUAAGGGCAUGUCUAACCAGAGUUGAGGUUACCUCGGCGUGAUCUUUUGUCAAUAGUUUCCAGAUCAUAUUCCAGAUGUCCCGACUUCAUAACUAUCGUCUGUUUUUGCCUUUUUGUGUAUGCAUUACAAUUCUAAAUGUUUUAUACAUUUCUUCUCGUAAUUAUUGCACUUCUUCUCCCUGCAGGUGAAGUGACCUCCACUAUUGAAAGUAAUUACAUCUGAUUUCAUUGAAAGCUUGUGAAUAAAGCUCCCAUUAGAUGCUGAUCGCAAAUCGCAUUGAAUCGAUUUUCGCUCUCAACCGUUUUGACUGCUCCACGGCAUCACUUCAACGUGUCAUCCUAUUUACUCUCAACUAAGGAAUGGGAAUUGCUCGCACAUUUUUCAUCAUUAAUGUUUGCCAUCACGCUUUCUUUUUUAUGUAUUGAUGUUAAGGAAAUUCCUUGUAACUGCUUCAGACUGAGGAAAUUACACUUCCCCAAUUUAAUAAGGUGAAGACAAAUCUUUGAAAGUUGCCAAAUGUUGGUAACAUUUUGAAAAUUUGAUGUGUAUCUAAUGUAACUAGCCUGUAAGAGGUAUUUUCGAUAUAUAUUUGUGACUAGUAAAGAGUAACUUUCCGAACAGACAGGCGGUCAAACAUAGAACGUUUACCCAAGAGCAUUAGAUAGAUCACAGAAGUUCAAAUCAUUAGUAUAGAAUCAAAAAAUGCAUCAUCCAAAAAUUGUGUUUGAGAUGACUUGAAAACAAAUCUACAAGCUUGAACGUUCUUCUCCCCACUGUUGUUCACUAAUAAUCUGCCAGCGCGAGAUGAAGAAUUCCUCUGUUUGUUUUUUUUAUUUGCUAAAUACUAAGGCUAUCAGUGCUGAAUGUGAGUAAUCGUUUCGUUUGCUUGAACUAACGAAGGCAAUGUUGAAAAUAUCUUCAGGAUAUUUCAAGAUACAGAGCCCAGAGAGCACUUAAUACAAAUUCAUGAGAGUAGCAUUCAAUUGUAUUCCACCUUAACACAGUCCCAGGAUUUCACAUUCUUGUAGAAAUCUAAUGGGUACUGUGCACUGCCAUUACUGUCAGUAACAACACAUAUGUGGAAAAGUGUUCCAAAUAUGAUUCCUUUUUCAAAUCAUUGUUACGAAUUCCAUCAAAAUUGUUGUUAUAAUAGUGGCUGAAAAGCAAAUUGACGAGGGGCUAUUUUCCAACAUACUUUAAAACGAUUCGUUAUCUCUCUCUACUGUCAAAGGCAAAAGAACAUCAAAUCGACACAAGAUGGUCUGCAUAAUCAUUGCUAGAAUGCAAAUGACAGAUUUAUCUGCUGUUUAUCCAGCUGCAAACCUUACAAGUUGCAAUGAAAACGAUUAAUUAUAAGAGAAUAAAUCUCGUUUUGAGUGGAUCUGGGAUUCAUUCCUGAAAUGACUGGGCCAUUUCAAACCUUGCAACAUCUUUGUCAUUUGCUUGCUCAGUAUCUUAUACUGUAUUCCCACGUGUUUCUGAGACUUUGAAUUGACUUCAUUGACAAGACUGUCAUGAUUGUGAUUUUCAAAUGAAAAAUGUAGUGUCUGAAACAGUAGAAACUUGCACUUAGUUCCGCGAACUGUGGAAAUGAAAUGCUGUCACCAAUACAUGCCCCUGUUGUGUUUUCAUUUCGUUACUGCUUUUAUAUUCUUCAAUGUAGAGGUGUGAAAUGUGCUUGCUAUUUUGUGAUCCAUGUUGAUAUUCAUUUGUUUUGCUGAAACUCUGGCCUAAAAACUAACAUGUGUUUUUGAAGUUCAAUGUUAUUCAGUUCGUUCCAAUGACUACGUCAAUAAUUGCCUACAUUCGCUUUAUAAAUGGUGUUGCUUUUGCAAGUAAAAUUUAAAAAAUCAAGUUUUAAAUAAA
Molecule: non-coding RNA, 4348 nt
Organism: Chiloscyllium plagiosum (whitespotted bambooshark)
Lineage: Eukaryota; Metazoa; Chordata; Chondrichthyes; Orectolobiformes; Hemiscylliidae
Source: the annotation of a RefSeq genome assembly